AGUGAACGCUGGCGGUAGGCCUAACACAUGCAAGUCGAACGGCGGCACAGUAAGAGCUUGCUCUUACGGGUGGCGAGUGGCGGACGGGUGAGGAAUACAUCGGAAUCUACUUUUUCGUGGGGGAUAACGUAGGGAAACUUACGCUAAUACCGCAUACGACCUACGGGUGAAAGCAGGGGAUCUUCGGACCUUGCGCGAUUGAAUGAGCCGAUGUCGGAUUAGCUAGUUGGCGGGGUAAAGGCCCACCAAGGCGACGAUCCGUAGCUGGUCUGAGAGGAUGAUCAGCCACACUGGAACUGAGAAACGGUCCAGACUCCUACGGGAGGCAGCAGUGGGGAAUAUUGGACAAUGGGCGCAAGCCUGAUCCAGCCAUACCGCGUGGGUGAAGAAGGCCUUCGGGUUGUAAAGCCCUUUUGUUGGGAAAGAAAAGCAGCAGGUUAAUACCCCGCUGUUCUGACGGUACCCAAAGAAUAAGCACCGGCUAACUUCGUG
This 492-nucleotide ribosomal RNA is filed under the name uncultured bacterium. RNAcentral's name for it is "partial 16S ribosomal RNA". It matches the Rfam family "Bacterial small subunit ribosomal RNA", at positions 29 to 507 of the family's 1533-position model. The record is from RNAcentral.